CCUCCUGCUGCUCUGGGGCUCGGCUGUUCUGCCAGUAAAGCCCUCCGAGUGGCCGUGUGCAGUGUCCUCGAGGCUGCAGGUCGCCUCCCUGUGUGCCCUGGAGCCGGGCCCGCCCUCCUCUGGUCUGGGCUGCUCUGAAGCGCACACGGGACAGCUCAGAGGCUGAACAGAAAGAGGCAGCUGAGCUAAGAGGGCUUUCAACUUUCCUGCCCUCCCUGGGCUUCCCGACUGACCGAAGGGCCUUGGACGUGUCAGUCGCCCGUGCGGCAGAGCUUGCAGCCUGUCCUUCGGAGCUGUCUCCCUGCCUUCCCUGUCCUCCCCUUCCGUCUCCAGCCUCUCCACAUGGUUUACUGAGCUGCUGGGUUCUGCUAUGGUUUACAGUGUUUCCACCUUUGGUGUUGUUCUGAAAGCAGCAACAGGUGAAAGUUUUGCGGCAAAAACACAGUGUUAUUUCCUCUGACAGUGAGGGGGAAUUUGUGAACCACUUGUGUCCCUCAAAUCUUCCGUGUCCUAAGGCAUCCCAGAGCCCAGGAGUUUGAGGAAUUUCAGGAAAAUGGAAGCUUGGAAGUGUGGAGGCCAGUGGCUCACUCAGAGUGCGUCCUGCCUCCUGCUCUCAGGCCACAGGAAUUUCACAGCCAGCACAUGGGUGGCAGCCGGUGCCGCACGACGGCAAGCAAAAGGAACACAGCAAGGAAUUGCGCCUCGUUUUCUGGAAUCCAGGCUGGACAGCAGCCAUCUCUCCCCUGAGUCCCCCUGAGGAGUCGUGGAGAGCAGCUCCAAGCAGGUUUCCGGUGGUGCGUCUCAAACCCAUGGACAGGAAGCUGAGGUCAUCAGUUGCUUUCUCAUUGCUGUCCGGGGCCACCUACCGCCUCUGCCUCCCGACUGGAUGGAGUUGCCUUUCCUGUAGCCAUCGCCGGUAGACUCCAGAGCCCUGUGGUGUUGGCACUGCCUCCUAUCUAGGGAGCAUCCCAGACCCAGCCUGGGGCUCUGACUCAGCUCUGACUCAGGCCCAGGCCUCAUGACUCCAGACUCCUUCUGCUGCUUCCUGCAUGGCUGGUCUGGAUGCACGUUCAGUGUGUGUGGAAAAUGCGGUGAUGGCCACUUGAACACACCGAGGUCAGCAGCCUGCAGGGCCCCCUGGGGACCCUACAGUCCGGUACUGGGCUUUGGUCCUAACUCUCCUCAGCCACCGGAGGGCACCCCGAAGAUCCACUUAGGAAUCGGCUUUUGCCAUUCACCACUGAGCAUCUCAAGGAAGAGAAUUUGAGGGUCAGGUUCUUCAGUACUUCUCCUUUCUGGGCAGCUGCAGACAGCAAUGGAGAACAAAAGUAGAAUCCAGUCUUGGUGCGUAUAAAAGCUUCUUUUCAGGUGUCUCAGAGGAGCAUCUCCUUAGUAGGAGAGAGAACGCUGACCUAAGGAGCUGGCGUGGUGCUUUGGCUGCAACAGUGCACCGUGACUGAGGGAAGCCCAUCAAACCCUAAGGAGAUUUGGCUCACCUUUUGCAUUUCAACUGACCAAAUCAGUCCUUUGAGGGAGAGGGGAUGGAAACGGGUUUUUGAAUUACAUUAGCUACCUCUAGCAUUUGCUCCUCAGAAUUACCUGGUGACAGCGCAGUGCCACAGCGUGCAUCAGGAUGUCCAGAGAGGCCUGGCACCCAGCGUGCCACUGCUCAGGGUGGCAGAGCCUUUAGGAGUCACAGGGCAGGAGCCCUCAGAGGGCUGUGGGUCCGGUCCUCCCUCUCACUGGGCCUCCUGGCCCCAGCACCCUGACUGCUUGGCUGGGAGACACUGGUUUGUGCCCCUGUGAUGUGUACAUCACAUGACCAAAUGCACCAGAGCUGGGCCACACAUGGGAUUUGUGAACAGAUCAGAUGGCAUUGGAAGCUCCCAGAAACAGCAAACCUCCAAGUACUUUGCAAAGGGCUCACGCUAUGCAAUCAGUCCGAGGCUGGUGGAACAGCGCAGCGCUGCAGUCCUGUGCUGAAUGUGCUAAGUGGUCAGCAGGCCAUGCAGGGCGCCCGAGGCUUCCCCCACCUGCAGCUCUGCUCCACCGGGCCCUGCCACCGUGAAGACUGCGCUGGAGCCAGUGGGCUGUGGACGGGACCCUCUGAAACUGGUCUGCUAAGUUGCCCAGGUUGCGCUCGAACUUGGCGUUGUCCUGCCUCAGCCUCCCUGACUGCCUGGAGUACCGGUGCAUGCCGCCACAGCUGGCUCCAAAUAGAAAAGGACAUGGAAGUACAGAAGUUGUGAUCUGCCUUAUAGACGACAGGAAACAUCCAGAUGCAAAAUCUGCCCAGCUUCUCUCUCUGCCCUGGCUCAGCUACUCCCGGGCUCCUGCAGUCUCUACAGGAAGCCAGAGUCCUCACCGUUGGCGCCUGCAGCACCUGGAGUUUUGCCCCACGCCUGCCCCUCCAGGCUCCGAGCAG
This 2425-nucleotide long non-coding RNA is filed under the name Heterocephalus glaber (naked mole-rat). RNAcentral's name for it is "lncRNA (ENSHGLG00000029963.2)". The record is from RNAcentral. Lineage: Eukaryota; Metazoa; Chordata; Mammalia; Rodentia; Bathyergidae.